CAGCAGUAGCCGCGGUAAUACGAAGGGUGCAAGCGUUAAUCGGAAUUACUGGGCGUAAAGCGUGCGUAGGCGGUGAGUUAAGUCUGCUGUGAAAUCCCCGGGCUCAACCUGGGAAUGGCAGUGGAUACUGGCUCGCUAGAGUGUGUCAGAGGAUGGUGGAAUUCCCGGUGUAGCGGUGAAAUGCGUAGAGAUCGGGAGGAACAUCAGUGGCGAAGGCGGCCAUCUGGGCCAACACUGACACUGAGGCACGAAAGCGUGGGGAGCAAACAGGAUUAGAUACCCCUGUAGUCCCUGUCUCUUAUAC
This 304-nucleotide ribosomal RNA is filed under the name uncultured bacterium. RNAcentral's name for it is "partial 16S ribosomal RNA". It matches the Rfam family "Bacterial small subunit ribosomal RNA", at positions 506 to 807 of the family's 1533-position model. The record is from RNAcentral.